AGGGAAUUAGCUCAAGUGGUAGAGCGCUCGCUUAGCAUGCGAGAGGCAGCGGGAUGGAUGCCCGCAUUCUCCA
This 73-nucleotide transfer RNA is filed under the name Anguilla anguilla (European eel). It matches the Rfam family "tRNA". From Rfam's summary of the family: Transfer RNA (tRNA) molecules are approximately 80 nucleotides in length. Their secondary structure includes four short double-helical elements and three loops (D, anti-codon, and T loops). Further hydrogen bonds mediate the characteristic L-shaped molecular structure. tRNAs have two regions of fundamental functional importance: the anti-codon, which is responsible for specific mRNA codon recognition, and the 3' end, to which the tRNAs corresponding amino acid is attached (by aminoacyl-tRNA synthetases). tRNAs cope with the degeneracy of the genetic code in two manners: having more than one tRNA (with a specific anti-codon) for a particular amino acid; and 'wobble' base-pairing, i.e. permitting non-standard base-pairing at the 3rd anti-codon position. Lineage: Eukaryota; Metazoa; Chordata; Actinopteri; Anguilliformes; Anguillidae. The record is from Rfam by way of RNAcentral.